AUCACUGCAGCCGGGCGCGCGCGCGGCGGGGGCCCGCGGGGAGCCGGGAGCGCGCCCGCCCCCGCCCGUCCAUCAGCACGUGCCGUGGGCGGGAGGGCUGGCGGGGCUCCCCGGCAAGGAAAGUUGGCCGGGAGGAACAAGCCGGGCCUGCUUUUCCUCCUCGGUCCCCCCUCCGCGGGCGGCAGCGCGGGCCACAGCCUGGGCCAGCUUGUCGCUGGGCGCCCGGGCCCCGGCGUUAUCCYGCCCCGCCGCCCAGCCGUGCUUUCCCCGUCAAGAAGCUCCUCUAGGAAAGGGCAGGGAGGUGUGAGGGCAGAAAGCGGCCCAGCCGGUGUCACGGAAGCACAGCCGGCCUUGAAGAGGGUCGAGACGCGAGAAAAGCAGCUGGAGUUGGCUGCAGGGCCGGGAAGCUCCWUGCAGAUGCUGGUGGAGUUGGUGCCAUGGAAAGCGGACAAGCUGCCAGCAUUCACCGAGUAGGUGGGGUGCAGGAUUGCCGUCGCAGCUUUGGUGGGGUUUCAGGGGAGCUGCCUGUGAGCUGGGGAGGGCAGCGAGCAGGCAACGGUGGCAGCCGCAUAGGGAAAAACUCACAUGCGCCUUUUGGAUUCGUGGAAAAAUAGUUCUGAGAAGGCUGACGUUGCAGGGCCGCAUGAGGGAUAGAGUUCCAUUGCAAAGGACAGUGUUGUUUGUUUGCUUUUUUCAUUUCCCCUAUUUAAAUAAAUAUGCCCAGUUAGAUUGGAAUACAUUGUAACUUCUGCAGUGAGCUGCUCUGCUCGCUGAUAAGGAUGCUGAAGGCCAUGAUUUACAUUGCAUUUCCAAGCUCCUUAUCAUUAAGACAAAUGGGAAAAGUAAUAAUCUGUCUGCCUUCAAGUGACAUCUCCCAGCAGCAGUGCAGAAGGCGCUCCAGUGACAGUGCUGUGUGCUGGGGAGACUGCACAGCUCCCACCUGGGCUGCACAGUUGUGCUGCAGAUGUCCUCUUGCCUUUCACUUGUCCUGUCACUUGGUUACUCUGCAUCAAGAACUUUGCACACAAAGGCAGCUACAGGGGGAAAUGAAGAUCACCUGGAUCGUGCAGACCUACUCACUUUCCGUUUGCUGCACACCAAAACUCUCUUUAGGCCUUCGGGACACACCAGUAAUUGCUCGUGUGGAGAUGCCUGCCCAGAUAAACUGUUUCUAGAGAAUAACCAGUUGGGAAGCAAUCUGGCUUAUUGGUGCCAAAUAGCCACAUCUGUUGUGGGAUGUAUUGCGGCAAACAUGGGCUUGCUAAUUUUGUUGACCUCUCCACAGUGUAGCUCCAUUUUUGCAUGCUAAUAUCAGAUAGGACUUGGAAAUGUUGUGUACUCCACUCGAGUUGUCACCUCUGAAUGGAAGAUGAGAGCACGAGCUCUGCAUCCUGGCUCACRUGUGUUUUACCCACAGAUUGUUAGAUGAGUGCUUAACUUGUGUACUAUCCUACACAGCAAAACAACAGAGGAAGUAUGACUCCAAACCUAUCAACUUCAGACUCCUUUAAAAUGUAGGCAGGUAAAGGCACACCUAAUAAUUGUAUGUGGUCAGAUACUGUGGUGAUAGGCAUUUUAAAAAGGCAGUUCUUGUCUUACUAGACUUUCAGAAAAUUUUUUCCGAUCACCAUCAUCCAGAAAAAUCUGUCAGUGUCCAAAACAAAGCCAGCCUGCGAGAAAGACAAAAUCACAGCUUCCAUGCCAAGCAAUACAGAACUCCUAUGCUUAUGUUUAUAAUUUCAAAGGAAAAUAUGAGUCUGCUGUUCUUCCACUCUGUACUAUCAGAUUAUAGCAGCAGAAUAGACACUCAAUAUGGAAGAAGAAUGCAACAUGCGUGUGUGUGCUCCCAACCAGAACCAAAGCUGUUAGUGCUAGCAUCUCUUCAGUAAUAAUGUGUGCUAAGACASUCCAGUGCUCGUCAGAUGUUAGAUAUUGAUUUCAAUCUAGGAURCAUGAAUGUAGCAACAGCCACUAGCCUUGAAAUGUAUUUAACCCUUUUUGUGAAAUGGAUCAACUCUUUUCAUUCCAUUCCUGGUGUGUGAAUUUGCACAUUACAGAAAUUGCUCUCUCAGCAAGUACUUUUCAAGGCUCUUGGGCACUGAGGACACCCACAAGUGACAGUCCCUGUCAGAUCAGAAACAGCGUUGCUGAGGAUGAAGUUUGUAUUGCUAUGAGAACUUCUAAACAGAGAGCAGCUUCUGUGACUGCUUGGAAAGUCAAUGAAGUCUCUAACAACCACCAGCCAUGCUCAUGACCUUACCGAAUGACGCUGUUACAGUGGCCACAGAGCGGGGUUCGGCUGCUGGCUGGAAAACGCUCCGCCCUCUGAACUGUUCCCCGGGCUAAUGCAGGGGGCUGGGAAGAAGGUGAAACUGGAGACGGGUGCAAUCCUUACAAAAGCCACUGAAAAUGUAACAUCUACAUGAGCCAGAAGUUGCUGGAAUUGGAAGAACUUGGACACCUGCCUUGGAGGCUCUGGGCAUUUCCACCUGAAGGCGUUAGAGGUUGUUAUUACAAACCAUUCCAAAGCUCCAAACCGGGUCAGUUAUGCAGUUACACRUCACAGUGUACCUUUGGUUACUGGAUGAAGCAAGAGGGGCUGUCUGGCCAAAACUGGCCUCCCUCUGGCUUGUACCUGCUCCAAGCCCCACAGAGCCCUUGGAGGCCACUGGCUGAGCAUUGGCAGUGUUGGCAUCCCUGGUGGAUGAUUUAGGAGGAUGCCAAAUACUCGAGGUCACAUACUGUGGUGCAUGCGUGGUACCUGCAGGCCUGGGUAACAGAGAUUACAAGGGUGUUUGUAAAUGAGGCAUUUCCUAGGUAACAGCAGGUGUUUGAGGAAACACACAAUUCCAGCCACGGAAGGAGCUGGAGAUCAUAAUGAUAGUGCAGAUGAAGUAAUGACUAAUUUUGACAGUUCAUUAGUUAAUGAAUGCUUAAGACCAGGUAUGGCUUGAUGAAUUAAAAAAAGGUACCUUGUGUUAAAUCUGAAAACAAUAUUGUUAUGAAUAUCAAAAUUAGCAAAGCUUGGAUGAUAGUGGAGGUGGAGAAAGGCUGUGGUAAGACAAAUCACACAAGAUUAAGGCAAGAUAGUAUGACAAUAACACCAGUCAUAUAUCAGAAAUUGUUCCUGGCAAAAUAAAAUAAUGAUUUUUAAAAAGGAGAUUUCAGUGAAGCAGUUGCACAGUCCAAUAGAUGGUUUUACACAAAUAAAACUGGUGSUGGAAUUCUAACAUGUGUUGCUUGUUCUUUACAAUUCAAUUUGUAUUCAGGAAUCA
Molecule: long non-coding RNA, 3275 nt
Organism: Malurus melanocephalus (red-backed fairy wren)
Lineage: Eukaryota; Metazoa; Chordata; Aves; Passeriformes; Maluridae
Exons: 4
Source: RefSeq, a predicted model, not a curated record